AAUCUUGAAAAAUUGAUAAACUUCAAAUUCACAGAUUCAUGUAUUUUUCUUCCCACAGCAACUUCUCCAUCUUCAUUGCUAGAUUCAAACUUUAAAACUACUCUGUGAGGAAAUGAAAUGUGACUUUCCGAAAUAACUUCUAGCCCAAGGAGAUGGUGGAGGAGUGUGCCUGAGAGAGGCAUCACCACCGGAAAUGGUUGUUGGAGCAGGUGUACUUGUAAGAACCCAGGAAUUGUAAAAUGCACUCCAUAGGAGUGACCACGAUGCUCAGGAGAAUGAGCUGGUUCUCAGAAGGCACCACGGCGGAGAGACGCCAGUGAUUACACUGGUCCUCAGAGGAACAUCGUGAAAUGGGCAGGAGCUCCAACAUUGCUAAUGGUAUGGACGCAAUGUAUGGAAGCCAUUUUAAGAACUGUGACCUUGAUAAGACCAUCGCUGCUUCUUCUACUUGAUUCCGACCAUUAUAUAUUAUGACUUGCUCAGACUGAAUACCUUGGCUUCUUACUGGAAAUUUGGAAACAGAAGCAGAAUUUCGGUAUACAACUGCAAAUUAGAAAGGGAUGACUAAUACUAGGAACUGUAAAUCCAAACCAUAGCUGCCACCACCAAAGUUAUAGUAUUAAUAAAACUAAUAUUAGUGAAAUGGUAAUAUUAAUAAGGUAGGACACAGCCAAGUCAUAAACACUAACCUACCCAUAUGCAUAUGAUGCCCAAGUGGCAAAAUUA
Molecule: long non-coding RNA, 726 nt
Filed under: Callithrix jacchus (white-tufted-ear marmoset)
Lineage: Eukaryota; Metazoa; Chordata; Mammalia; Primates; Cebidae
Description: lncRNA (ENSCJAG00000072870.1)
Source: RNAcentral